RNAcentral lists this ribosomal RNA (226 nucleotides) under uncultured bacterium. RNAcentral describes it as "partial 16S ribosomal RNA". It matches the Rfam family "Bacterial small subunit ribosomal RNA", at positions 111 to 334 of the family's 1533-position model. The record is from RNAcentral.
UAAUACAUAAGCAAUCUGCCCACAAAGACUGGGAGUAACCUCUGGAAACGGGGACUAAUACCGGAUAGGUAGGAGAGAGGCAUCUUUCUUCUAUUAAAGAUGAGAAGCACUAGUGGAUGAGCUUAUGGCGCAUUAGUUAGUUGGUGAGGUAACGGCCCACCAAGACGAUGAUGCGUAGCCGGCCUGAGAGGGUGAACGGCCACAUUGGGACUGAGACACGGCCCAG